Molecule: ribosomal RNA, 265 nt
Filed under: uncultured bacterium
Lineage: Bacteria
Description: partial 16S ribosomal RNA
Rfam family: Bacterial small subunit ribosomal RNA
Source: RNAcentral
UUGUCCCUAGUUGCCAGCACGUGAAGGUGGGAACGUCUAGGGAGACUGCCGGUGACAAACCGGAGGAAGGUGGGGAGUGACGUCAAGUCAUCAUGGCCCUUACGGCCAGGGCUACACACGUACUACAAUGGUCGGUACAGAGGGCAGCGAGACCGCGAGGUGGAGCCAAUCCCAGAAAACCGAGCUCAGUCCGGAUUGGAGUCUGCAACUCGACUCCAUGAAGUCGGAAUCGCUAGUAAUCGCGGAUCAGCCAUGCCGCGGUGAA